This 496-nucleotide ribosomal RNA is filed under the name uncultured bacterium. RNAcentral describes it as "bacterial SSU rRNA". It matches the Rfam family "Bacterial small subunit ribosomal RNA", at positions 15 to 507 of the family's 1533-position model. The record is from RNAcentral.
GAUCCUGGCUCAGAUUGAACGCUGGCGGAAUGCUUUACACAUGCAAGUCGAGCGGCAGCGCGGGGCAACCUGGCGGCGAGCGGCGAACGGGUGAGUAAUGCAUCGGAACAUGUCCAUGUCGUGGGGGAUAGCCCGGCGAAAGCCGGAUUAAUACCGCAUACGCCCGAGAGGGGAAAGCAGGGGGACCGCAAGGCCUUGCGCGAUUGGGUUGGCCGAUGUCCGAUUAGCUUGUUGGUGAGGUAAAGGCUUACCAAGGCGAUGAUCGGUAGCUGGUCUGAGAGGAUGAUCAGCCACACUGGGACUGAGACACGGCCCAGACUCCUACGGGAGGCAGCAGUGGGGAAUUUGGACAAUGGGGGCAACCCUGAUCCAGCCAUUCCGCGUGAGUGAGGAAGGCCUUCGGGUUGUAAAGCUCUUUUGUCCGGAGCGAAACGGGCGGCCCUAAUACGGUCGUCUACUGACGGUACCGGAAGAAUAAGCACCGGCUAACUACGUG